Molecule: non-coding RNA, 22 nt
Filed under: Arabidopsis thaliana (thale cress)
Lineage: Eukaryota; Viridiplantae; Streptophyta; Magnoliopsida; Brassicales; Brassicaceae
Also listed under: 3 other names
Source: RNAcentral
CCGAAAGAUGGUGAACUAUGCC